RNAcentral lists this long non-coding RNA (993 nucleotides) under Malus domestica (apple). Its description in RNAcentral is "long non-coding RNA (MDOM_LNC020807)". Lineage: Eukaryota; Viridiplantae; Streptophyta; Magnoliopsida; Rosales; Rosaceae. The record is from RNAcentral.
CUUAGCCAAAAAGCCAUGAAUCCCCUAUGUCAUUAUGUUUUGUAGGUUUUAACCCCGUUGAGCCUUGUUUAACCUAUGUUGUUGUUAACCCACAUUAUCCUCACCUAGCCUAGUUUAGGACCAUCCAUACCCUUGUUCUUAAAGCAUAGUAAAGCAUGAUUCGAAUUGAAUUCCUUUUGAUCUAUGUUGGCAGAAACCAAGUGUGGGGGAAGUAUUUUUCAUGAGGAAUUAUGUGCCAUAGGCACGGCAAAGAAAAGAAAAAAAAAAUUCGUGGAAAAAGAAAAAAUGAAGAAAAAAAGUGUGAAAAGUAUGAAAAAACAGUUUGAAAAAAAAAAGAGAAAAAGAGUUCCAAAGUAUUGUUUGUUGAAGUAAGGGUCCAAAACAAUGAAUUCGGCCCUAAGGAGUUGUUUAAGUCUUCCCCUUGUGUUUUAAAGUUAAUUUCUGCAAUCUAAGUGAAUUCUAAGUCUCAAUUUCAUUGCUUUGCUUACUAUUGCUUGAAGAACGUUUGUUUUCCCUAUCCUUUCCUUGUUAACCAACAACCUAAGCCCCAUUACAACCCUUAACUUCUACCUUGAGUGUUAUGUGUUUCAAUUUGUGGAGUUUGAAUUUGGUAUGAGCAUAUGGUGUCACUGGUUCUCGCAUCUAAGUAGUAGCAUUCCAUUCAUGAGAUCAUAUCUAAACAUGCUUCUUAACUCUAGAAAUUGCGUUCUUUGUGAAACAUAUAUGUGAGCAUUCGUUUUCAUAUCUACAUCAAUCUUCUCACAUAUGACUAGUGUAGGGUGUGGAGUUAGAAAAUCUGAGUGAAAAUAGAGUGUAUAUCUUGUAAGGAAUUGAGGGAAUUCUCUAAGGCAUGUUACUACAUUCAAAGCAUUGUUUUAAUUGAUUACUUGUGAACUAGUAAGUGGUGGCUUUAAUUAAGUAUGUGCUUGUGUAAAGAUGACUCAAAUCUGUGGGGAUAACAAUCUUUAACAUGUCAUGUGCAUUGGAAAUCCC